GAUGAAGAACGUAGCGAAAUGCGAUAAGUAAUGUGAAUUGCAGAAUUCAGUGAAUCAUCGAAUCUUUGAACGCACAUUGCGCCCCCUGGUAUUCCGGGGGGCAUGCCUGUUCGAGCGUCAUUUCACCACUCAAGCCUCGCCUGGUAUUGGGCAACGCGGUCCGCCGCGUGCCUCAAAUCGUCCGGCUGGGUCUUCUGUCCCCUAAGCGUUGUGGAAACUAUUCGCUAAAGGGUGUUCGGGAGGCUACGCCGUAAAACAACCCCAUUUCUAAGGUUGACCUCGGAUCAGGUAGGGAUACCCGCUGAACUUAAGCAUAUCAAUAAGCGGAGGA
RNAcentral lists this unclassified non-coding RNA (331 nucleotides) under soil metagenome. RNAcentral's name for it is "partial contains 5.8S ribosomal RNA, internal transcribed spacer 2, and large subunit ribosomal RNA". The stretch from base 1 to 120 matches the Rfam family "5.8S ribosomal RNA", at positions 35 to 154 of the family's 154-position model. The record is from RNAcentral.